GAUGAACGCUGGCGGCGUGCCUAAUACAUGCAAGUCGAGCGAACAGACGAGGAGCUUGCUCCUCUGACGUUAGCGGCGGACGGGUGAGUAACACGUGGAUAACCUACCUAUAAGACUGGGAUAACUUCGGGAAACCGGAGCUAAUACCGGAUAAUAUAUUGAACCGCAUGGUUCAAUAGCGAAAGACGGUUUUGCUGUCACUUAUAGAUGGAUCCGCGCCGCAUUAGCUAGUUGGUAAGGUAACGGCUUACCAAGGCAACGAUGCGUAGCCGACCUGAGAGGGUGAUCGGCCACACUGGAACGGAGACACGGACCAGACUCCUACGGGAGGCAGCAGUAGGGAAUCUUCCGCGAGGGGCGAAAGCCUGACGGAGCAACGCCGCGUGAGUGAUGAAGGUCUUCGGAUCGUAAAACUCUGUUAUUAGGGAAGAACAAAUGUGUAAGUAACUAUGCACGUCUUGACGGUACCUAAUCAGAAAGCCACGGCUAACUACGU
Molecule: ribosomal RNA, 496 nt
Filed under: uncultured bacterium
Lineage: Bacteria
Description: partial 16S ribosomal RNA
Rfam family: Bacterial small subunit ribosomal RNA
Source: RNAcentral